UUUAAACUUUUUUUUUUAUUUCUAAUGUAAUUGUAUAAAUUGUACUUGUAGCAUUCUCAUUAUAGAUAGGA
Molecule: transfer RNA, 71 nt
Filed under: Drosophila melanogaster (fruit fly)
Lineage: Eukaryota; Metazoa; Arthropoda; Insecta; Diptera; Drosophilidae
Description: tRNA-Gly
Source: RNAcentral